CCUACGGGUGGCUGCAGUGGGGAAUAUUGGACAAUGGGCGAAAGCCUGAUCCAGCCAUGCCGCGUGUGUGAAGAAGGCCUUCGGGUUGUAAAGCACUUUCAGUGGGGAAGAAAGCCUUGGGGCUAAUACCCUCGAGGAAGGACAUCACCCACAGAAGAAGCACCGGCUAACUCCGUGCCAGCAGCCGCGGUAAUACGGAGGGUGCGAGCGGUAAUCGGAAUUACUGGGCGUAAAGCGCGCGUAGGCGGUCUGAUAAGCCGGUUGUGAAAGCCCCGGGCUCAACCUGGGAACGGCAUCCGGAACUGUCAGGCUAGAGUGCAGGAGAGGAAGGUAGAAUUCCCGGUGUAGCGGUGAAAUGCGUAGAGAUCGGGAGGAAUACCAGUGGCGAAGGCGGCCUUCUGGACUGACACUGACGCUGAGGUGCGAAAGCGUGGGUAGCAAACAGGAUUAGAUACCCCGGUAGUC
Molecule: ribosomal RNA, 465 nt
Filed under: Vreelandella stevensii
Lineage: Bacteria; Pseudomonadati; Pseudomonadota; Gammaproteobacteria; Oceanospirillales; Halomonadaceae
Description: partial 16S ribosomal RNA
Rfam family: Bacterial small subunit ribosomal RNA
Source: RNAcentral